GACGAACGCUGGCGGCGUGCCUAACACAUGCAAGUUGAGCGCUGAAGGUUGGUACUUGUACCAACUGGAUGAGCAGCGAACGGGUGAGUAACGCGUGGGGAAUCUGCCUUUGAGCGGGGGACAACAUUUGGAAACGAAUGCUAAUACCGCAUAAAAACUUUAAACACAAGUUUUAAGUUUGAAAGAUGCAAUUGCAUCACUCAAAGAUGAUCCCGCGUUGUAUUAGCUAGUUGGUGAGGUAAAGGCUCACCAAGGCGAUGAUACAUAGCCGACCUGAGAGGGUGAUCGGCCACAUUGGGACUGAGACACGGCCCAAACUCCUACGGGAGGCAGCAGUAGGGAAUCUUCGGCAAUGGACGAAAGUCUGACCGAGCAACGCCGCGUGAGUGAAGAAGGUUUUCGGAUCGUAAAACUCUGUUGGUAGAGAAGAACGUUGGUGAGAGUGGAAAGCUCAUCAAGUGACGGUAACUACCCAGAAAGGGACGGCUAACUACGUG
This 497-nucleotide ribosomal RNA is filed under the name uncultured bacterium. Its description in RNAcentral is "partial 16S ribosomal RNA". It matches the Rfam family "Bacterial small subunit ribosomal RNA", at positions 28 to 507 of the family's 1533-position model. The record is from RNAcentral.